UACGGAGGAUGCGAGCGUUAUCCGGAUUUAUUGGGUUUAAAGGGUGCGUAGGCGGGCUUUUAAGUCAGCGGUAAAAAUUCGGGGCUCAACCCCGUCCGGCCGUUGAAACUGGGGGCCUUGAGUGGGCGAGAAGAAGGCGGAAUGCGUGGUGUAGCGGUGAAAUGCAUAGAUAUCGCGCAGAACUCCGAUUGCGAAGGCAGCGUACCGGCGCCCAACUGACGCUGAAGCACGAAGGCGUGGGUAUCGAACAGG
Molecule: ribosomal RNA, 252 nt
Filed under: uncultured bacterium
Lineage: Bacteria
Description: partial 16S ribosomal RNA
Rfam family: Bacterial small subunit ribosomal RNA
Source: RNAcentral